This 425-nucleotide ribosomal RNA is filed under the name uncultured bacterium. RNAcentral describes it as "partial 16S ribosomal RNA". It matches the Rfam family "Bacterial small subunit ribosomal RNA", at positions 354 to 796 of the family's 1533-position model. The record is from RNAcentral.
GUGGGGAAUAUUGGACAAUGGGCGCAAGCCUGAUCCAGCCAUGCCGCGUGAGUGAUGAAGGCCCUAGGGUUGUAAAGCUCUUUCACCGGUGAAGAUAAUGACGGUAACCGGAGAAGAAGCCCCGGCUAACUUCGUGCCAGCAGCCGCGGUAAUACGAAGGGGGCUAGCGUUGUUCGGAAUUACUGGGCGUAAAGCGCACGUAGGCGGACAUUUAAGUCAGGGGUGAAAUCCCAGAGCUCAACUCUGGAACUGCCUUUGAUACUGGGUGUCUUGAGUAUGGAAGAGGUAAGUGGAAUUCCGAGUGUAGAGGUGAAAUUCGUAGAUAUUCGGAAGAACACCAGUGGCGAAGGCGACUCACUGGCCCAAUACUGACGCUGAGGCGCGAAAGCGUGGGGAGCAAACAGGAUUAGAAACCCCUGUAGUCC